Lethenteron reissneri (Far Eastern brook lamprey) is the source of this 1104-nucleotide RNA transcript. RefSeq lists it as uncharacterized. The record is from RefSeq and is a predicted model, not a curated record. NCBI's taxonomy places the organism in Eukaryota, Metazoa, Chordata, Hyperoartia, Petromyzontiformes, Petromyzontidae.
UCGAUGUCGACACCCCAUGCACGGAUGUAGACACCGCAACGUAAUGGCUUGCUACACCCCGUGCAUUGUGGGUGGCGAGCGGCUGGUUUGGAUUCCCGCUCACGGCCACCGUCAGUGGCGAGCGGAAGCUUCUGAAGCGGCGGCUCGCUGGGCCUCCUCUACGUCGACUCAGCCUGAAGGCGGGUGUCUCAGAUUGCCAGCACCAUGUGAUGGGAGCUCCAGGGCAUGCUGUGUGCUCGCCAGGAGGGGCUGGGCAAGAUGGCGUAGUCGCUGGAGCAGCUGCGGGCGCGGCACCGCCGCUCUCACCCUGGCGGAGUGCAGCAACACAGUGGGGUGGCACCAGCGGGACACUCUGGACAACGCAGCCAAGGCUGUUGCCCCGCUCGCCCGACUCGUUGAGAGGUUGGCCACCCCCCAGGGCGUUGUCGUGAAGAUACCGCUGGGAGGAAGAAUAUCUCACAAUACUGGAAGAGGCGGUGGUGUUGCAAGCCUGUAAUCCAGCAGUGGAAGGCAGCAAGGGACGGCUCCUGGUUCGUCAUCCCCAUAUCUUCGGCAGUCGCAGGCUGGAGGUGCUGAUGGAGCCGAGGGAGCCGACAGAGCCGAGGAGAGGAGGCCGUGAUGGCGGGAAGGAGGCUGUGAUACACUGACUCAUCUUACACUGCCUCACUCACACAACAUACACUGACUCAGUCAUACAUCUUACACUCACACAACCACUGACCCAUUCACUGAUCAUACACAAUUCACUCAUCAUACACUCACUCAUCAUACGUUGACUCACUCAUUAUACACUCACUCACACUCUCACUGACUCACUCACUCAUCUUACACUGACUCAGUCACUCAACAUACACUGACUCAGUCAUACAUCUUACACUCACUCACACAACCACUGACCCAUUCACUCAUCAUACACAAUUCACUCAUCAUACACUCACUCAUCAUACGUUGACUCACUCAUCAUACACUCACUCACACUCUCACUGACUCACUCACACAUCAUACACUAACUCAUCAUAUGCUGACUCACACAUCAUACACAAGGAGUGUCAUGCUGCCAGCUAUGGCUACAAGUUCGGUCGUACAUGUUAUGUAUAUCGUUUA